CGAUCUCCUGACCUCGUGAUCCGCCCGCCUCAGCCUUCCAGAGUGCUGGGAUUACAGGCUUCAGCCACCGUGCCCAGCCUCACCCAGAUGGAGUUUCAAUCUGUCACCCAGGCUAGAGCACAGUGGCACAAUCUUGGCUCACUGCAACCUCUGUCUCCAGGAUUCAGAUGAAAAACCCAAGGUCCAGAAAGGGGACGCAAUGGCCAUAGCAGCAGCAGAGCAGGGACUGAAUCCCAAGGCUGAUGACUUUGACUUCGGUGCUCCAGCAUUCGUCUUCCCUGGAUUUCUCAGCUCGCAGGCUCGAUAACUCUCUUCUCUCCCCAGACUUGUUGGCAGGCAAGAGGAAUAACUCAUGUGAGUCAAAAGCAAUUUGCAAACAUAAAUAAUUUUCAAUGCCAGGAGAGGAGACGGUGGGAAGAUGCAUGGAAGGUUGAGAGGAACACAGCCAGCCCCAAGUCUCCCUCGCCCUGCUGGGCACUUCCUCUUUCCACCUCGGCGCUGGUGGGAGAGUCGGAGUGCGCCAUAAACAAGGCAGGAAACGGCUAUCAUGAUGCUCACUUCCGCUCUUCCUAGAAGGGAUUCUGCUCGGCAAUCUCUCCACUCCCCACCCCCUGCCAUGCACAGGAUUUUGUACUCCCAGCUCCUCUGGAGGCUCAGAGGAGGAGAUGGUCCUGCUGCACUGGCCCAGCCUUCCUCUACCUGGCUUGUCUUUUUCCUUGUCCUCAACCCCAAACAGCAAGUAUCCUAACAAAGAAUGGAUAGUACACUAUUAUUUUUGUGACAUUCAUCUCAGUGUCAUAUUCCAAAGGAGCUUGACAUUAAUUGUCCUGUUCCUAAUUUGGACACUGGUUUACGAAAGUGUGGUGACCACUGGAGACUGUUCUCUGACAGUGUAACAGGUAUUCGCCCCUUUCCCCAGGGUACUAAGACUCACGUGGCCCUGACAGCCAGCACAGUCUCUUAGGAGGUUCCGGAGGGUGGCAGUGGGAAUGAGCGUAGAGCCGUGUCAUUUCGGAGGGCUGAGUGCAUUCCACACAUCUUCCCAAAGCCCACCCCAAGAGGCUGUCUAACGCAGGGGGAAACAAUGAGAAACCAGAUACCAUGGAAUUAGCAAAGAAUUUCUCAGAUGAAACAGGAAAGGGAGGAAAUCCAGAGGGGUUUACAUUACACCUGGCUCAGGUUGAAAGGAUUCAGGGCCAGUUGUUGGCAAUAUUAAACUCCAGGCUGCGUUUGAAAGGGUCCUUCACUCGGGCAGCCAAAGAGAGGCGUUCCUGCCAGGAUAGGUUGCAUCGCUGCAGAUCUCCAGCCCUACGUGCAUACACACGUGCACACACACGUGUACACACACGUGCACACACAUGUAUGCACACACAUGUAUGCACACACAUGCAUGCACACACAUGUAUGCACACACAUGCAUGCACACACACGCACACACAUGCACACAUGCAUGCAUACAUGCACACACGCGCGCACACGUGUGCACGCACAUGCAUGCACACAGACACGCACACGCACACACAUGCAUGCACACACGCACACACAUGCACACACACGCACACACGCAUGCACACACACACAUGCAUGCACACACGUGCAUCUUGGAUAUCUCUUGUUAAUGUCAGCCCUCUGCCCCAAACUAGAUUUGAAAACUUGUAGGUAAUCAAGUUUUCUGGUUAAGAGAAAUAAUCCCAGCCAACAGUUAGUAAGCUCUUAUGUGUCAGGCCUUAUCCAAACAGUUCACACGAAGACCAGAUCCAAAAAUAAAAGUGUGCUUUGUCCUCUGUG
This is a long non-coding RNA of Homo sapiens (human), 1788 nucleotides long. RefSeq annotates it as long independently transcribed non-coding RNA 1977. NCBI's taxonomy places the organism in Eukaryota, Metazoa, Chordata, Mammalia, Primates, Hominidae. The transcript has 3 exons. The record is from RefSeq and is marked validated.